This 363-nucleotide ribosomal RNA is filed under the name Columbicola guimaraesi. RNAcentral's name for it is "partial 12S ribosomal RNA". Lineage: Eukaryota; Metazoa; Arthropoda; Insecta; Psocodea; Philopteridae. The record is from RNAcentral.
CCCUAUUAUUAAGAGUAGAAACGAGUUAGUGAGUAGGAAUCACUUCUGAAAACUAUCCAGAAUGGCGGUUUUUUUUAUUUUCAGGUAAAUGUGUUUUUGAAACGAAAUUACACGAAGAUCUUUCUUACUCUGGAAACCCAUCCUGUACACCGCCGUCUGAAGGGUCAAUUUAAAAAAUUAGCCCCCAUUCCUUUUAAAGAAAUAAGUCAGGUAAGGUGCAGACUAUGGGUAAGAAGAAAUGCAUUUCCUUAAAAAUCGGAGAGGGGGUUGAAAAACCACUUCAAAGUAGAAUUUGAAAGUAAGAAUUUUUUAUCAUAAAACUCUGAAUUAAUNNCAAAAAAAUGUACACAUCGCCCGUCGCUC